Molecule: ribosomal RNA, 206 nt
Filed under: uncultured bacterium
Lineage: Bacteria
Description: partial 16S ribosomal RNA
Rfam family: Bacterial small subunit ribosomal RNA
Source: RNAcentral
CAUGCAGGCGGUCUGUUAAGCAAGAUGUGAAAGCCCGGGGCUUAACCUCGGAACAGCAUUUUGAACUGGCAGGCUAGAGUCUUGUAGAGGGGGUAGAAUUUCAGGUGUAGCGGUGAAAUGCGUAGAGAUCUGAAGGAAUACCGGUGGCGAAGGCGGCCCCCUGGACAAAGACUGACGCUCAGAUGCGAAAGCGUGGGGAGCAAACA